GGCUUAGAGUUUGAUCAUGGCUCAGGAUGAACGCUGGCGGCGUGCUUAACACAUGCAAGUCGAACGAAGCGGCUGGACGGAAGUUUUCGGACGGAAGAGCAGCUGACUGAGUGGCGGACGGGUGAGUAACGCGUGGGUAACCUGCCGUAUACAGGGGGAUAACAGAGAGAAAUUUCUGCUAAUACCGCAUAAGCGCACGAAGACCGCAUGGUCCGGUGUGAAAAGCCGAGACGGUAUACGAUGGACCCGCGUCUGAUUAGGCAGUUGGUGGGGUAACGGCCUACCAAACCGACGAUCAGUAGCCGGCCUGAGAGGGUGGACGGCCACAUUGGGACUGAGACACGGCCCAAACUCCUACGGGAGGCAGCAGUGGGGAAUAUUGCACAAUGGGGGAAACCCUGAUGCAGCGACGCCGCGUGAGCGAAGAAGUAUUUCGGUAUGUAAAGCUCUAUCAGCAGGGAAGAAGAAAGACGGUACCUGACUAAGAAGCCCCGGCUAACUACGUGCCAGCAGCCGCGGUAAUACGUAGGGGGCAAGCGUUAUCCGGAUUUACUGGGUGUAAAGGGAGCGCAGACGGCAUGGCAAGUCUGAAGUGAAAGGCAUGGGCUCAACCCGUGGACUGCUUUGGAAACUGUCAGGCUAGAGUGUCGGAGAGGCAAGUG
RNAcentral lists this ribosomal RNA (662 nucleotides) under uncultured organism. RNAcentral describes it as "bacterial SSU rRNA". It matches the Rfam family "Bacterial small subunit ribosomal RNA", at positions 1 to 663 of the family's 1533-position model. The record is from RNAcentral.